This 290-nucleotide ribosomal RNA is filed under the name uncultured bacterium. Its description in RNAcentral is "partial 16S ribosomal RNA". It matches the Rfam family "Bacterial small subunit ribosomal RNA", at positions 773 to 1060 of the family's 1533-position model. The record is from RNAcentral.
GUGGAUUAGAUACCCUGGUAGUCCACGCCGUAAACGAUGGAAGCUAGCCGUUGGUGGGUUUACUCAUCAGUGGCGCAGCUAACGCAUUAAGCUUCCCGCCUGGGGAGUACGGUCGCAAGAUUAAAACUCAAAGGAAUUGACGGGGGCCCGCACAAGCGGUGGAGCAUGUGGUUCAAUUCGAAGCAACGCGAAGAACCUUACCAACCUUUGACAUGCCUCGUAUGGUCGCUGGAGACAGCUUCCUUCCCGCAAGGGGCGAGAGCACAGGUGCUGCAUGGCCGUCGUCAACU